RNAcentral lists this ribosomal RNA (234 nucleotides) under Triticum aestivum (bread wheat). RNAcentral describes it as "partial small subunit ribosomal RNA". Lineage: Eukaryota; Viridiplantae; Streptophyta; Magnoliopsida; Poales; Poaceae. The record is from RNAcentral.
AUGCGCUCCACAAACUUAAACUGGCUCAACUCGGCGAACAUUGCUCUCAUCCCCAAGAAGGAUGGUGCGGAAUGCAUCUCGGAUGUCCGCCCCAUUAGCCUCAUCCACGCCAUCGCGAAGAUCUUUGCCAAGAUGAUGGCCAACCGUCUGGCCCCCCACAUGCAUGACCUUGUCUCCAACGCCCAGAGUGCAUUCAUCAAAAAGAGAAGCAUCCAUGAUAACUUUUUGUUCGUC